This is a non-coding RNA of Fukomys damarensis (Damara mole-rat), 59 nucleotides long. The record is from Rfam. NCBI's taxonomy places the organism in Eukaryota, Metazoa, Chordata, Mammalia, Rodentia, Bathyergidae.
UGUAAACAUCCUACACUCUCAGCUGUGGACAGUAAGGAGCUGGGAGAAGGCUGUUUACU